Molecule: long non-coding RNA, 3594 nt
Organism: Phasianus colchicus (ring-necked pheasant)
Lineage: Eukaryota; Metazoa; Chordata; Aves; Galliformes; Phasianidae
Source: RefSeq, a predicted model, not a curated record
GGAGCGGCUGCGGAACGGCGGCGGCGGUGGCGUCGGGAGCCCCGGCCCCGCGAUAAAAGGGAAGGGGCUGGGCGGCGGGCGGUGCGCGUUGCGGCACUGGGGGGGGGGAGCGUGGCUGGGAAGGAGGGAGGGAGCGAGCGAAGGAGCCGCCUCCCGCAGGAAUCCCGGGCGGGUGGCAGUAACAGUAGUAGCAGCGGCGGCAGCCGGGACGCGCGGCUCCCCCUGGCUGCGCGGCGGCGGGAGGCCGGUGAGCAUCGAGGAGCAGCCGCCGCCUCAUCCUGCGGCAGCAGCCGGCGCUGCACGGAGAACGCAGGUGGCAGUGUAGAAGCCAAGAACAAAAAUUGGCAGAAAUUACAUUCUGUGUACGAGAGAAUGAAGAGUAUACUCAUGACUAAGCACAGGAACCUGGAAAACCACAGGUAUGUGAAGUGAUUCAUACAACUGCCUACGGUGCCCCCAGUAUUCCUGGCACAAUAGGUAUUCUUGGAUAAUUAGCUCUUACUGUGACUAUGUUAAUUGAUAAGGAAAAUGCUAUGUCUGAUUACUGAAAUGAAAAAAUAAUAAAAUACUUUGAAUGCAGUAUGCAAUGAGAGGUGGGAUUUUCAGAUUUCUUAUGGUGUAUGUUAACUAUGAAGAAUCAGAGCAUGGUUAAGUUGCAUGAAGAUUCAGUUUAUUUCCUUCUAAAUACCUAGAUCUAUAUUGAUAAAGUUGAGUGCAGUUACAUCCCUGAAUAUGCUUGAAAUGGAGAAACGUCAAAUAUUAUAGGCAUGGAAACCUUCCUGUAGAAUCGUUUUAUGAACAAUGAAUAGAAAGCAUGAAGAGAAUGAGAGAUGUAAAUAAAGAUGUCAUUUCAAAUACUUAUCUGGGUGUGAUGCUUUAUAGUGCUCAUUUCUGCUGGGGAGUGGGGGGGUGGUGGGAGGGAGAGGCAGUACGUAAGAGCCCAUGAUUAGCUCUCAUGCUUCUAAGAAAAGGGAAGUACCAGGCUACCUGAUUAAAUAAUCUCUCAUUAAUUAGGAAUAUUAGAGUACAACAAAGCUCUUCUUGUAUGCUUAUGUCAUUGUGGACAGUCUGUAGAAAUUAGUCCAUGGGUCUGCAUUCCAGGAUACCUGGGAAGCCAUGGAGGAUGGGGUGAACUCAGAGCUGGAGGGGUUUUUGGAACUUGUGAAUGGGAAGUUAUCCUGGUAAAGUGAUCAAGUGCCACCACCACUGUGUUUAUAAAUGUUUGGCUUUUUUUUUUUAUGCUUUAGGAAGGCAUUCUGUCUAAAGCUUUGAAUUGCUUUUGAGAGAACAUGGUGUUCCCAUGUUCACAGAUGACCAAGUCACCUUGUACAAAGUGGGAACGCAUUUGCAGAUGGUUUAUUUCACUGUCUGUCAUGUUAUUGAUCAUCACUUACUUCUGUAUGUUGACUCGCUUAGGCAUAGCUGGGGAGGAGGAAGUCUGCAGCACUAAGGCCUAUAUGGCCAUGUAGUUUUCAUUGUUAUCACUUAUUAAGCAAAACAGCUAAGCAGUUCAUCCAACUUAAACAUGGCUAUUCACAAAGGUUUUGAAAAAUGUUUCUGAUGUAGUAAAGGUCAGUAUAUGCUUAUGGCUUUGUCAAACAGUGCUGAGCUCAUUAGUUUGUGCCAACGUGUUGAGAACAGAAAAUGAAACUGUUAGGGGUACAAAAUUUUAAUGUAGUCUCCCAUUACAUCAAGUGUUUGCUAAAAUAUUAAAUAAAACUGUUAACUAAGCAACGUGCUGCUCGAGAGUUCAAUCUACAGAUGCUUCUUUGUGCUAAUUAGGAAGUAUUGACAUCAAUGAAUGAAACUACUUGUUAAAGUGCCUUCUAGAGUGUAUAGCAGUUACGUGUUCAUAAGAUGAUUCAUAGCAUUCAGCAACUUGUGAUGAGUUUCCCUGCCAUUACUGGAGAUUAUGAAGUAUCUACUGUAUUUGCACUACAUUUUUUUUUUUAAUUAGCUUUAAUGGUGGAAGGGGAAUUUUCUAUCAACUGAAAGAUCAGGCCUAUUUUAUGAAUUCAUUAAUUAUUUUUCUCUUUAUUGUAUGGUGCAAUCUAUCAUUAACAAUAAAAUGAAAUGUUUAAUCAUGCCUAUAAAUACAGUGGGGUGUGUGUGUGUAAAACUCUCAGGACUUAUGAUGUUCUUGAAAAUUGUGUGUAUCAUGUCAAGUUUGCUAUAUUGUAUUAGUUGUAAUUGAAAGAAGAGUUUUCAGUAAGAAACCUGAAUUUAACAUCUAAAACAGCAGAGCCAGCGUAGAACUCUGUCUGACUGUAUGCAGGAUAUAUUUGUAGGUGCUGCUCUUCUUAACGGUACUGCAGAUGUUGCAUCUUAGAAAACAUCUCAGAAAACUGUCCAGUGAUUGUUUUGAACUGAAAGCUAUGGCUGAUUAUGCAUUUUUAUUGCCUCAAAACUGUGCAAGCCCCUCAAUGCAAUCAGUCAUUUCACACUAAAACAACAAUGGGUAUAGUCUGUUAGACUACCAAGUAUGAUUGCUUGACUCUUUGCAAAAAUAUUUGUUAACAUAGGAGUAUGUCUGAGGCCAUUUAGCUUAGGCACUUUGGCUACUCAGACUGAGACUGAUACCAGUUCUCCAGUUAGAAAAGGGUAGCAUUUUAUUAAUCUUAGCGUUAAUACAGCUGUUAGACCAAAGAUAUAGCUACAGCACUGGAAGAUACUCAUUGUAGGCUAUUAUAACUGAGGGAGGCUCUUGUGAAAGUCACAACAUGCAAAGUACAUGUAUACAGUUAAGUAUCCUUAGCUAGCAAAUGUGUAAAAUAAAGUCCUGGGGAUGUAGUUCUUCAGCCAUCUCUAGGUUGGGUGCCUCUGGAUUUAUUAUACAAGUGUAUCCUAAUGCAGAAGGACACCAAAAUUUUAAAGAAGAAAUGAUCCUGAAAUUGUAUUCUAUAGGAGAUCUUUCUCUUAGGUGACGGCCAAGUUUCCUUUUUCUCUAAGAAUACCCUUCCAUGGUGUUGAUCCUCAAUGGCAGGAGGGUAUCUCCUGUUGUAGUAAGAAGGUGUAGUUAAGUGGAGUGCAAGUGGAUUUAUGAUGCCAAAAGGGAACACAUCAUAACCUUGCAACUGCAUGCCAAACUGACUCUCAUCGAGAGAAGACUAGACCAUCUCAUACCUUAUACGAAAAUGGAAAGCGCAUAUGGAUCAAGAAGACACAGCCUCUGGGGCUGGAAGUCCUUAACACUGCUACAUGUUGGACAGGAGUUGACAAAAAUGAUGUAGAAACAGUGUGGAACUGCUUGAAUAAAAUUCAGUCCCAUUUAGAGGGAAGCCUGGAAGGAUGGAUGAUCAGAUUAAAGUAAAGAGUUGCUAUGCAGUGCUUAGAACUCUAGAACCAGGUAUUUAGUGUCUCCAUUUUAUUUUUCGAAGUUAUUGAUGGUAUAGAUGUACUAGAGAUAAGCUAGCAGGAUGCACAUUAAGAUGUCGGAGAAAGUCUAGUAAGAGGACAGGCCAAAGGAAUAAGAUGCUUGCAGCCAGUCUGGAAAUUAAAGCUAUUGAUCAGAGAUCCAGAACAAGUAAAUAUCCUUUAACAACUUUUUUCUCUGAUGCUUUAAAAAAUUGCAAAAAAAAAAAAAAAAAAAAAAAA